RNAcentral lists this ribosomal RNA (374 nucleotides) under uncultured bacterium. RNAcentral's name for it is "bacterial SSU rRNA". It matches the Rfam family "Bacterial small subunit ribosomal RNA", at positions 527 to 898 of the family's 1533-position model. The record is from RNAcentral.
GUAGGAGGCGAGCGUUGUCCGGAAUCAUUGGGCGUAAAGAGCGCGCAGGCGGCCCGGCAAGUCGGGUGUGAAAUCCCGGGGCUCAACCCCGGGACUGCAUUCGAUACUGUCGGGCUAGAGGUAGGUAGGGGAGAUCGGAAUUCCUGGUGUAGCGGUGAAAUGCGCAGAUAUCAGGAGGAACACCGGUGGCGAAGGCGGAUCUCUGGGCCUUACCUGACGCUCAGGCGCGAAAGCUAGGGGAGCGAACAGGAUUAGAUACCCUGGUAGUCCUAGCCGUAAACGUUGGGUGCUAGGUGUGGGCGGAUAUCGACCCCGUCCGUGCCGAAGCUAACGCAUUAAGCACCCCGCCUGGGGAGUACGGCCGCAAGGCUAAA